Molecule: ribosomal RNA, 508 nt
Filed under: uncultured bacterium
Lineage: Bacteria
Description: partial 16S ribosomal RNA
Rfam family: Bacterial small subunit ribosomal RNA
Source: RNAcentral
GACGAACGCUGGCGGCGCGCUUAACACAUGCAAGUCGAGCGAGAACCAGGGCUUCGGCCCUGGGGACAGCGGCGAACGGGUGAGUAACACGUGGGUAAUCCACCCUCGGCACCGGAAUAGCCCGGGGAAACCCGGAUUAAUGCCGGAUGGCCCGCCCGCCCUGCGGGGCUGGCGGGAAAGGUAGCUUCGGCCUCCGGCCGAGGACGAGCCCGCGACGGAUUAGCUUGUUGGCGGGGUAACGGCCUACCAAGGCUGCGAUCCGUAGCUGGUCUGAGAGGACGAUCAGCCACACUGGGACUGAGACACGGCCCAGACUCCUACGGGAGGCAGCAGUGGGGAAUCUUGCGCAAUGGGCGAAAGCCUGACGCAGCGACGCCGCGUGAGGGAAGAAGGCCUUCGGGUUGUAAACCUCUUUCAGGAGGGACGAAGCCACUCGGGUUAAUAGCCCAGAGGGUGACGGUACCUCCAGAAGAAGCCCCGGCUAACUACGUGCCAGCCGCCGCGGUAA